CAUUUCUCAUUUAAAUUGCUUCUUACACAUUGAUAAUUCUCUAGUACUGAGCAGAGACUUUUCCAUCUGCUAUAUAUGGACAUCCAUGAUACAAACUAAAAUCAGAUUUGGAAAAUGCAAGUGAGACUUUAAUGGGGACAUUCAGGCGUGCAAGUUGUAAGUCAGAGUAAGUAUUGUGUGAAACCCAGUAAAGUUUACAUAGUAAGAAACUGAUUAGGAGAGUGAUGCACUAGUUUUACUGAAUUCCUAAGCUGAAGUGACAAUUUGAGAUAAAGUGAUUAUUACACACCUGUAGUCACAUGUGCUGCGUAAGUAGUCCAUAUCUCUAAUUAAACAGAAGUUCUCAUUUGUUUUGACGAGGCCCAGCUUGCUCCUGUCUGUUACAGAGCCCUUUCUUGUUGUGGUUAUGUGGGCAGGGUGCCUUCUGUGCCUACUGAUGGUGACCUGCUGCUAAAUUUCCAGAAUGCCCUUGAGUGUGUGAGCACAGGAUUUUAUGGUAAAGCAUACCAGGAGCUGAAUAUAUAGGUGCACUCCAGUGAGCUGUAGGUAUCAAGAAUUGAGAAGGGAAGGGUUGUUUCCGCAUCACUGGUACUGCCUGGCGAUCUUGUCCUGCCAAGUUGUCAUGCUGGAGCUUAUCUCAGCUGAUGCAAUUUGGAACAGCCCAGUGAGUUUGGAGACAUCUUCUUAAGACUUACUGAGUAGCCUUCCCCAUCUGCAAAAGUCAGGAAGUCAUGGAAGAUACUUCCUAGCUACUCUGCUUGCCUUUUUUUCUGGGCUGUGCUAGGUACUGGCGGGCAAGUGCUACGUUUCACCUUCAAAGGCUAAAGCUUCAGAAGAUGCUGAUUAAGUUGAGCUAUGCUUUUGAAUAAUUACAACUAUCUGUCAUGUUUUCUAUCCCCCUCUGUUUGCUUUGUUAAUGGUUUGGUUUGGAUAAUAAGUACUUAAAAGUGAACUAGGGUGUUGUAGGACACGUGGCUGUGAGCCUCCUUUAGACAUGAAGUCCUGUUUUUCUUCCACAUACAGAAAGCAGGCACAGAAAAAUGUUAAGUGCUUACUUGAGGCUUUCUGAAUUUUUUUAAAUAAUAAUGUAUUCUUAAUUCUGCUUGUUAUAUGAUGAAACAAAACCAAGAUAUAUCUAAAAAUAAAUUUCC
This 1151-nucleotide long non-coding RNA is filed under the name Numida meleagris (helmeted guineafowl). RNAcentral's name for it is "lncRNA (ENSNMEG00000018191.1)". Lineage: Eukaryota; Metazoa; Chordata; Aves; Galliformes; Numididae. The record is from RNAcentral.